Molecule: ribosomal RNA, 245 nt
Filed under: uncultured bacterium
Lineage: Bacteria
Description: partial 16S ribosomal RNA
Rfam family: Bacterial small subunit ribosomal RNA
Source: RNAcentral
ACACGUGGGUAACCUGCCUUAUAGUGGGGGAUAGCCUUUCGAAAGGAAGAUUAAUACCGCAUAAGAUUGUAGUAUCGCAUGAUAUAGCAAUUAAAGGAGCAAUCCGCUAUAAGAUGGACCCGCGUCGCAUUGGCUAGUUGGUGAGGUAAUGGCUCACCAAGGCGACGAUGCGUAGCCGACCUGAGAGGGUGAUCGGCCACAUUGGGACUGAGACACGGCCCAGACUCCCUACGGGAGGCAGCAUG